CUACGGGCUGCUGCAGUUACGAAAACUUCGCAAUGCACGGAAGUGUGACGAGGGAAUUCUGAGUGCUUACGGUUUAUCCGUAAGCUUUUCAUCAGGGUAAAUACCUGGUGGAAUAAGUGGUGGGCAAGACUGGUGCCAGCCGCCGCGGUAACCCCAGCGCCACAAGUGGGAACCACGUUUAUUGGGUCUAAAGCAUCCGUAGCCGGUCUGGCAAAUGCCCUGUGAAAUCGCAUCGCUUAACGAUGCGGCGGGCAGGGUAGACUACCAGACUAGGGACAAGGAAAGGAAAGCGAUAUUUCUGAGGGAGCGGUAAAAUGUUAUAAUCUCAGAAGGAUCACCAAUGGCGAAGGCAGCUUUCUAGAAUGGAUCCGACGGUGAGGGAUGAAAGCUAGGGGAGCGAUCCGGAUUAGCCCGAGUAGUC
This 421-nucleotide ribosomal RNA is filed under the name uncultured archaeon. Its description in RNAcentral is "partial 16S ribosomal RNA". It matches the Rfam family "Archaeal small subunit ribosomal RNA", at positions 323 to 746 of the family's 1478-position model. The record is from RNAcentral.